UUUCCGUAGGUGAACCUGCGGAAGGAUCAUUGCUGGAACGCGCCUCGGCGCACCCAGAAACCCUUUGCGAACUUAUACCUUACUGUUGCCUCGGCGCAGGCUGGCCUCUUCACUGAGGCCCCCCGGAGACGGGGAGCAGCCCGCCGGCGGCCAACCCAACUCUUGUUUUUACACUGUAUCUCUGAGUAAAAAAACAUAAAUGAAUCAAAACUUUCAACAACGGAUCUCUUGGUUCUGGCAUCGAUGAAGAACGCAGC
This 257-nucleotide unclassified non-coding RNA is filed under the name uncultured fungus. Its description in RNAcentral is "sequence contains ITS1, 5.8S rRNA gene". The stretch from base 209 to 257 matches the Rfam family "5.8S ribosomal RNA", at positions 1 to 49 of the family's 154-position model. The record is from RNAcentral. Lineage: Eukaryota; Fungi.